UUCUAUUGGACAGAAUAAACCUCUGAAAGCGCAUUCCAUUUGCCAUUAGGGCAUAGCAGCUAUGCCACACCAAUGUUGCUACUGGUGGAGGUAUGAAUCUCUUUGACCGGACUUGAAUGGACAUGCGAUUCGGUGCUGCAACUCCCGACUCGGUUAAUGGGGUGGCUCUUCAUCAUUCUCUGCUAGCUUCAGUAUCGGAGUACUUUGUACCAUCCAUUCUGGUGUGAUUGAUUUCUGUUCAAAAUCCUCGUCUUUCUUGAGAGUGAGUUCAUUCCAUUUAUCUUCUUACAUACUUGUAAUCUGGAAGGUAGAUGGUGUGGGAAAGCAAGAAGGAAGAGAGCUAACCAGGGAAAGAACUGAACGAGGAAGACCUGGGCUGUAGACAAGACCGAUAGUAAGACUAGUCAAGCAUCUAUUCUUAUUCAAAGUGAUUUCACUAAUAGGCUAACAGUCUCGAACUUCUAGAAGGAGCGUAGCCACUCGACCAGCCCUUGAACCUAGCCCUCGGAGCGAAAGAGAAUUCAACUUUAGCUUCUGAAGGAAGAAUGUCACUUGGAAUUCCGGAAAGUGAUUCUUCUCUUUCAGAUCCUGGCCUUGGUAGAACUUGUCUUUGAUUGGGAUUUCGAUUGAAAAGAUGUUAGACCGCUUCCUCAUGUGCCUAAGAAGCUGAGGCAAUCUCGUUAGAGAUUGGCCAAUUCAAGUUUGUUUUUCCUACUCCAUUUUUUUUUAUAGAAAUAGCACUCGAUCAAAGGGGAGCAUAAGCAAGUUCAGUGGUUGAAACCUCUGUAAUCGAUCGAUGGGAACCUCGAAGCUGUCUGGGGCAGGAGCAAACUCAUAUUAGGCACUGCCGCAGCAUCAAUGGUACAAGGAAGAGGCACGAUAGCGAAGAUCAAUCCAUCUCAAUCUACAAAAAACAUUGCCUUGGGCAUGCAACCCAAAAAGAUAGAAAGACUGCUCGCUCGAAGAAAACUCUUUUAGAGCCUGGUACAAGCCAAGCCCCUUCGAUUCGGCAACAAGAGUCGGUUAUGGAAUAGUAUUUUGGUCGGCUUUCCCGUUCUUGAGGACUUUCUGGCCGGUAGGCUUUAUAGCGGACCUGCUUUGCUGACAGGGAGGAUAUUAAAUAGAUAGUUGCGCUUGCCUUCACUUAGAAAAUCUACGCCCCCUAUAUAUUCUAUUAAGGCAUGCUCUCGAAACUAGAUUCACUCGUUCUUGUCUCCGGCGAUUAACCUAUUUCAGAGCAGUCUGGUGAUUAGCCUAUCUCGCACUACUCGAAGCCUUCGUAAACUCAUUGAUUGUUGGGUUCUAUCGUAGUGAAGGUUGCUGUGAGGAGAUCCUUGUGCCAGUGAAGAUUGCUUCCAGUGAUCGAGAAAUAAUAAAUACAAAAACCAUUGCUUUAUAUCCAACACUCCGGAUAGGCAGAAGGAUCUAUGUCCAUCCCCAACUUCCUUGCAAUCCACAUCGGAAAAUUUAGGCUUUCUCUACUGGGAGUCAUCAAAGGAGGAAUAGGCAUACGCUGCUUCGAUAAGCCAAGGAAAAACAACCACCGCUUGGUUUUGACACUCAAGCGACCCGCCUUGCCAAACAUCGAUGCAAAGGUUAGAUUUCACCACCUCUAUCUCCAAGCCCCUUGACUAGGUUGGGCAAGCUUGGAUGCCCCUACUCUCAACAAGUUGCUGGUCGAGAUCGUGGAACUCUCGCUCGAGAAGUAAGCUGGUCCUUGUUUGGUCAUAAGGAUAAUCGUUCUUAUUAGGUCAGGGGCGGCCGGUCCGAGGGUUACCCGCGAUUGGUAAUGGCAUAACCAGAAGAGGGGUAGGGGAGACAAAGUUACGCGCUGGGUAGCGCAUCUGUUUCGGGUACAGAGGCGACGAGGGGUGCUAACCCGGCCACCCAACCCAGCAGGUCAGGGGCGGGCCGGGCCGGCCAUAGGUUCGAAUCCUGCCACCUUU
RNAcentral lists this long non-coding RNA (1946 nucleotides) under Ricinus communis (castor bean). RNAcentral's name for it is "long non-coding RNA (RCOM_LNC003339)". The record is from RNAcentral. Lineage: Eukaryota; Viridiplantae; Streptophyta; Magnoliopsida; Malpighiales; Euphorbiaceae.